UUAGUUUUCUCUCUUCUCCCAUUUGAGAAUUCUUAAGGAAUUCUAUUUGCUUGUAAUAUUUUGGAGAUAGUAAAGUUAUCAUCUGGUGUUAGUGCCCGAGGACGUAGGUAUAAUUUACCGAACCUCGUUAAAACUCUUAUGUUCUUUUUGUCCUAUUUUUCUUUCAAUAUUUGAUGGUAUAAUAGUAGUAUUUAAUUGUGCUACUAAAUUACGUUAGAAGGAAUAUUCUGACUAAGGAAAGACUUGGUAUUUAAGAGAUCCUUGUGAUCCACCUCUCUUCCCUGGGAAUUGAACUUUGUGUGAUUUUUUAGUACAAUAAUUUACACGCUUCCGACCCUAUUGGAACAACACAGAACACUGUUCUACAUUUGCGUGCUGAAAUGGUAGACACAAUAUCCAUUAACCAGUCUCUAAAUCCACUCUGUAAUACAUCCUGAUUCCAUGUUUUUUUCUAACUGCUGCCAUAUUUCUUUUACAGUGAUAAAAUCUUGGAAAGCAUGCUCUGUCGUUUCAGUUCCAUCUGAGCAUCAAGGACAGACUGUUGACUUCGAAGCCUUCUGUAACGGAGAUUACAAUACGUUGGAAUGUAGUUAUUAAAUAGCCUCCAUAUUGUAAUCUUACUUUUUUAU
This 629-nucleotide long non-coding RNA is filed under the name Gossypium barbadense (sea-island cotton). RNAcentral describes it as "long non-coding RNA (GBAR_LNC021368)". The record is from RNAcentral. Lineage: Eukaryota; Viridiplantae; Streptophyta; Magnoliopsida; Malvales; Malvaceae.